Equus caballus (horse) is the source of this 1112-nucleotide non-coding RNA. The record is from the annotation of a RefSeq genome assembly. Lineage: Eukaryota; Metazoa; Chordata; Mammalia; Perissodactyla; Equidae.
AGCCAGACCCAGGGUUGGGGGCUCAGAAGGCAGUGCUCUUGGGGCGUCUCCACUAUGGCCUGGGCUCUGUUCCUCAUCACCCUCCUCACUCAGGGCACAGGGUCCUGGGGCCAGUCUGCCCUGGUUCAGCCUUCUUCGGUGUCCGUGGCUCUAGGACAGUCGGUCACCAUCUCCUGUGCUGGAAGCAGCAGUGACAUUGGGUAUUAUAACUCUAUUUCCUGGUACCAACAGCACCCAGGCACAACCCCAAAGCUGCUGAUUUACUAUACCAAUAAGAAGCACUCAGGGAUCCCUGAUCGCUUCUCUGGCUCCAAGUCUGGGAACACGGCCUCCCUGACCAUCUCUGGGCUCCAGGCUGAGGAUGAGGCUGAGUAUUACUGUUGCUCAUAUGCAGGCAGUGGCAAUUUACACAGUGGUCCAAGUUCAUGGGGAAGUGAGACCAAAACCUGCCCUCUGCUUGCAGGCUCCCUCCUUGCUCUGGAGAUGCUUCCCUGACACUGGGUCAAGGGGGAUUCAUGUGACAUAGUUUUGAAAAUUCUGUUCUCUCUCAGCUCCUUUCUCCUCCCACAAUGAUGUCCAAUAGGAAAAAUGUUCUGAGGUUUAUUGUUUUGGGACACUAGGAACUUCAUCUUUGCCUGUGUGAUGUAGUUCCCAGAUGUGUCACUCUUUCCUGAUUUUCAACAAUAGUGCAACGGGUAAUUCCAUGUGUCAACUUGACUGUGUUAAGAGAUGCCCAAUAAUCUGGUAAAGUAUUAUUUCUGAGUAUGUCUGUGAGGAUGUCUUCAGAUGAGAUUUGCAUUUGAAUUGUAGACUGUGUAAAGAAGACCACCCUUGUCAUUGCCCAUGGGCAUCGUCCGUCCAGCUGAGGGCGUGAAUAGAAGAAAAUGAUGGAGGAAGAAGGAGUUUGCUCUCUGCUUGAUCUGAGACAUCUGUCUUCUCCUACCCUUGGACAUUGGCACUGCUGGUACAUCUGCUUUCAGACUCAGACCAGGACUUAGACCUUGGGGCCCCAUUCUCAGGCCGCUGGACUCAAACUGAAUUAUAUAACUGUUUUUCCUGGUUCUCCAGCUUUCAGACACCCUUUCGUGGGACUUGUCAACCCUCAUAACUCU